GUUUGAGGCUGGCAUUCUCUUCUCUUCAAUAUCUAGCUGCCUUGCCAAAAAGUGAACUAUGGAUAGUAUAAGAAGGAAUGUUGAUUGCCCUAAUUCUUAUGACCAUAAAUGAUGAGAAACUUGAUAACAUCAUUUGACACCAACAAUGAGUGAGUUUUUCCAGGAUUUUUGAGAUUGCUGUUCUGUCACGGAGAGAACAUAUAUAAAUUUCCUCUUUUCAUAGUAAGUUCUAAACCAUCAACUCGUAGCACUAAAUGUUAAUUCAUAUACUCAGGGGAAAAUAAGGUAUUUUCAUGUAAAGAUACUUCAUAGGCAUAUAAACCUGUUGCAAAGUAAGGUUUUGAGGUAGUUUUUAGUUGCAUCUGAUGAGGGUAUUGGACUAGUUGACCUCUGUCCUGUCCGGUUCUAGAUCUAUAAUGAUAAUGCUACAUACUAGUUUACAAAUAGAAUUUUUUUUUAUCUUUUCAUUGGUACAGUACUCAUUUUGGGAUAAUGUUAUGAGGCUUCUUAAACUUGAGGCUAAGACUUAUAGGUUCUCUAGCCUUUAACCUUGCUGUUCAAAUAAAAUGUGCUUGUGUGAGAAAUACUCCUUGGGGCAGCUACUUGGAGUAGUGGAUAGAGCACCAGCCCUGGAGUCAGGAAGACCUGAGUUUAAAUGCUGCCUCAGAUACUUGACACUAACCCUGUGACCCUGGGCAAGUCACUUAAGCCCAUUGCCUAGCCAAAAAGAAAAAGAAAUACCCCUUGUACAUUUGUCAGUUCAGUGCUUCAGUUUGUCUUUUUGCUCCAGACUUUGUCAGGAUAGAGAGCUGAUUUGACAGCAGGUUGCAAUAGCAGCAGUUCCUAAGUUUGUAUGAAAGAAAUUCCUGAAAUUUUAAGGGGACAAGAUGGCAGAGGGUUGAUGAUAUAGAUCAACCCUCUCUCCCCAUCUAAAGACAAGGUAAAUAAAAUUUCCACUGUUCUUUGGAUUUCUUGAAUUGUUACCUUAAUAAGAUUGAUGUUUUAGGGACAAUGAAGAGUCUUCCUACCCAUACUCACUUUCACGAUAUUGGUAUUCUUUAAUUUACAUUGUAAGCUUCUCUGGUCAGGGAGUCUCAUUUAGUUAAUUGUGAUUAAGAAUAUGAUGCCUGGUAUAGCACUAAGUAUUGUGUUAUCUCUUUUGAAAGAUGAAAAGUCUCCAGUAUAAUAAUAGCUAGCCUGUGUAUUGUAUAUGUUUAUCCCUAAAUCAUCUUUAUACAUUUUCCAAAUAUAUUCUUAGACCUUGGGCUGAAAAUUAAAUUUGCUCUCUCAAAUGUUGCUUACCUUUCGUGUCAUGGCCAAUAAAUAAAGUACAGUUAAUGGAUCCCUUUCAACAUUAAUUCAGCUGCAUUGGUGCUAUAUGUGUUCAUGGUGCUAUGAAUUAUAGGUCACAGGGAUAUCAACUUUCAUUUCCAGGCACGGUGAAAGUAAUUACAUUUAAUUUGUCCUGAAUUUCUGUUCUGCAGCAAUUUCUUUUACUAGGUGGAGCCCCCAUGCAGCUUGUGUUAUAUAGUUAGCCAACUUGAUUGUAAACAAAGACAUGUAGAAAUAAAAGUAAGGUGAUAGAACCAGGCUAAAUCUACAGUAAUGGUCCAUGACUGUUUUUGUUUUGUUUUGUUUUUUUGAGUAUGUACUUUUUUGGAGUCAGAUUUCUUUUCUACCUCUUAAGAAUCUUUUUAAACUAAUGAGAAUAUAUACAUUCCUGGUUUUACUUAGGGAAAGGCAGCAUGUACUUUUGUACAUUGAUUCCUUUUAUUGGGAUCCUAUUCUUAAGGAAAAACUUUUAGAAUUCUUCAUUUCAAAGGGGCUAAGGCCAGAGAUUCAGAUGUUAAAAUUUUAAAUUAAGAUGUAUUACAUUCAGACCUUAUCAGAGAUUUUAAGAGGUGUGAAAGAAAAGUACUUUAAAUGUUGUGAAAUUUGAGUUUUCAAACUUGAAUCCUUUAUUAUUUUAAUAAAUUCCCUUUGGUAUUCUGUACCCACUCAAUUUGGCAAUUCACUCAAAUCCUGAAUAAAGUCAGCCAGACCAUAACUUGUAAAUUUUGCUUAAAAUAUUUCACAGAUAAAACCCAUAGGAGAGUUUUUAUUUCACAAGUGACUAAAAUGAAAAUUCUGAGUAAUUUUCCAGAUGCAAGCCAGUCUUUUCUUUUUUUCAAUUCUGAGCCCACUGUCCAACUACAGUCACUCAGGACUUGGGUUCAGAUUCUGACUCUACCACUUAUUGUUGCCCCUGACAUAGGCACUCUGUAAAUGAAGGCUGGUCAAAGAUCGAUGGCUUUCUAAUUAUAUUUUUUUCUCUGCAUAGCUGUAGUUGGGGAAAAAAUAAGAAAGUUUCCUUUGAAAACAUUUGGUUCUCUUACUCUAUCCCUGAUAUAUUAAUAUCUGAUAUGGACACAUCCAAAUUGUUAAUACAAAGUGAUGACUGAGAAUGUAGUGUGGUAUAGUGGACUUGGAGUCAGAAGACCCAGGCUCACAUCCAUACUUGUUCUUUGCUGUGUGACCUUGAAUAAAUGAUUUCACCACUCUGAGCUUCAGUUUACUUAUCUAUAAAAUGGGAAUGUUACUGACAAUACCUACCUAAAUAAUACCUAAUCACAGAUAAGUGAAAAACUUGAAUGAUGAUGGCUAUUAAAACACAUGCUGAGAUGAAAUAAUUUUUUACUGUGCUCACCUUGUCAUAGCUAACAGACUGCCAUGAAUUAAUAUUGUCCGAGGAAGUCUGGAAUGUUUUAUCUCCACCCAUAAAAGCAACUUUCUGGAGCCUAGCACAAAGAAGCUCUUGACCAGUAGGUCUUGUGGAAAAUAUUUUCAUAUUCUGUAUUACAAAGGGAGUUUACAUAGAAGAAAAAGUUCAUUUAUUCCCAAGGCUUCAACUACCACCUUUAUGCAGAUGACUCUCAAACCUUAUCUCCAGGGCAGAGCUCCAGACAGUCAUCUUCAGCUGCCCGCGAGACCUCUUCACCUGAAUGUUCCUAUGGCACCUCAGAUUAAUCAUAUCCAAAGCUAAGUUUAAGUGUUUUUUUUUCUUGUUUUAAACCUACUUUCCUUCAGAUUUAACUGUUCCGGUGUCAUCAGUGUCACUGGCAUCACCAUUCGUUCUGUCCCCUGAGUGUUAAUAACUCAGUCCUUCACAUUUCAUUCAAAUAGUCACCAAGUCUUGUUGAUUCCGUUUCUACAACAGCUCUCAUUCUGUCCCUCCUUUGAUUUCCACUUAUCCCACAAUAAUACAAACCCUAAUUACCACUUACCUAACCUAUUGAAAUGACUUCUUUACCUGUGUCUCUUCAUUUACUCUUCCCCUCUGCUGACCUAUCCUUUACAUCAUCGCCAAGUCAUCUCGUGCAUAGAUUUAAUUGUGACAUUACUUUUCUCAGAAAUCUUCACUGGAUCCCCAUUUCCUGCCUGGUGAAGUUUUAAAUUUUAGACUGGCAUUCAAGACACUCUGUUAUCUGUUUUAUGCCCUCCUGCAAUUCUAGGCUUCUAAUUUUUUCCCUUUGCACACCCUUUGACACUAGCCAAACUGAGCUAAUUGACUCCACAAACCUAUGCUGUGUAUACCUGGAAUGUUCUUCCUUCGCUUUUAAAGCUGCUUAGAUGCCACUUCCUACUUCCUUACGAUUUUGGUAACAAUCUUGCCCUGAAACAAUGUAACACUUUGUUUUGUAACCCUAAUGUAUCUGUGGCUUUGUGUCAGACUUUCAUUUUCCUAAUAGUGAAUUCUUGGGUGGCAGGGACAAUAUCUUAACUAAAUUGUGUUACCCCUUGGUGUUUUGCAUGCAGUAGACAAUAUUAUAUUAUGUGGCUUACUAGACUGUAAGCUCCACGAGAGCAGGGAUUAUGUCUUGUCUAAACUUUGGGACUUCCACAAUGACUAGUUUAAUACUUUGCUCACAGUAGGCACUUAAUAAAUGUUUGUAUGAUUGAACUGAACUGCCUGCUGACCUUUUCCAGAAUAUAUUUUCUGUCAUUUAUUUGACAAUAAUGAAUUGCUUUUGGGAUACUUUGUAUGGAGCUAUUUAAUGUGGCCUUUGUUUUUUAAGUUUUAUGUCACUAAACAUUUUCUGCAACAGAGACCCUGUUUUUAUAGUCAUUCACCUGACAGAAAGGCACAAAAAUACAGCAUCCUGUUAUAUUUAUUUGUUGGUGACAAAAAAGCAUUUGACUUAGUAUAACGAAAUAUAACUGCAAAAGUACCUUUCCUCUUGGCUGUAUGUUACGAUCAGUUUUUUUUUAUAAAGCCACAGAGGUGAUUGUGUUAAUUGACCCUCUAGUGCAAGAGAAAAUAUAGCAUUUGGAGAAAGGGGACCAACCCAGCUUCUAGCUGUGUGACCUUGGGCAAGUCACUUCACUUUAUUGGAAAUGUCUCCCCGUUUGUAAAUUUCGGUGAUUGGACUAAAUAAUCUCUAAAUCUAUGAUCCUGUGAUUGUUUUAGCUUUGUAGAGUCAAUCUGUUAGCUUAUUAAUUCACAUUAGAAAGAUUGGAUAUAAGUUUUGAUCCACAGAUUAGGACUGCUGCUCUAGCAAACUAGGAAUCAAUCUGGCAAUAUGCUCGACAUUUAAAAUAUAUAUAUGUGUUGUACUGUUAUCUUCUGUUUUCAGUAUUAUAUGAGAUACGUUUCCCAAGGUGGUACUCUCCUUAUUCCUUCCCUGGGAACCUUCCUUUAUAAGAAAUAAAAAUCACUUCAAUAAAAUUAACUAGCAAAAAAAAAUGUGAAAAGGCAUUUAUUAAGCAUAUUUGAUAAAUACGUGCUGCAGGUACCUCGGGAAAAGUAAGACACCCCCUGCUCUUGAGCUCACAUUCUACUGGAAGGAGACAACACACACAGUUCUCAGCUGUAAGUCCUAUAUGCCCUUGAGACCUGUGGGUGUGGGUGCUGUCAUCUGACCUGUUGGUACAUCCCCCAGGAUGGGGCCUGCUAUCUGCUCCUACUGUCAAAUUCAAGUAUUUGUUCUCCCCACCCACCCACUCCCAGUUAGAUUUUGAUCUUGAGAUCAGGAAUGGUUUUGUUUUCUCUCCUUGUAUCUCCAGUACUUCUUGGCAAUAGUAAAUAAUAAAUUUUAAUUUUGGUCAUUAGUUCAUUCUUUGGGGCCCAGGUUGUUCAUUAUAAUCUCACUGGCUUCAGUUUUGUUGUUCUUUCAACUUACAUUGUUGUAGUUAUCGUGCAUAUUAUUUUUCAUGUUCUGCUUCACUUUACAUCAGUUCAUAUGUAUUUCUCUAUGUCUAUGUUCAUAUUCACUGUUUUAUUACAGAAAAGUAAUAUUCCAUCAUAUUUCACACAACACGGUUUGUUUUGCCAUUCCCCAAUCCAUGGAUUAUCUACUUUGAAGUUUUAACAGAUUGUAGCAAUAUACUUAAUAAAUAUUUCUUGAAAGCA
Phascolarctos cinereus (koala) is the source of this 5389-nucleotide non-coding RNA. The record is from RefSeq and is a predicted model, not a curated record. Lineage: Eukaryota; Metazoa; Chordata; Mammalia; Diprotodontia; Phascolarctidae.